Non-coding RNA from Perkinsus marinus ATCC 50983, 72 nucleotides. The record is from Rfam. NCBI's taxonomy places the organism in Eukaryota, Perkinsozoa, Perkinsida, Perkinsidae.
GCUACUUUAGCUUAGUGGUAGAGCGUCUGCUUCGUAAACUGAAGGUCGUCAGUUCAACCCUGGCAACGGGCU